CAGCAGCCACGGUAAUACAGAGGGUGCAAGCGUUAAUCGGAAUUACUGGGCGUAAAGCGCGCGUAGGUGGUUUGUUAAGUUGGAUGUGAAAUCCCCGGGCUCAACCUGGGAACUGCAUCCAAAACUGGCAAGCUAGAGUAUGGUAGAGGGUGGUGGAAUUUCCUGUGUAGCGGUGAAAUGCGUAGAUAUAGGAAGGAACACCAGUGGCGAAGGCGACCACCUGGACUGAUACUGACACUGAGGUGCGAAAGCGUGGGGAGCAAACAGGAUUAGAGACCCAGUAGUCCCUGUCUCUUAUACA
This 301-nucleotide ribosomal RNA is filed under the name uncultured bacterium. RNAcentral's name for it is "partial 16S ribosomal RNA". It matches the Rfam family "Bacterial small subunit ribosomal RNA", at positions 509 to 808 of the family's 1533-position model. The record is from RNAcentral.